AAAGGGCCGGGAAAGACCGGUGCCAGCCGCCGCGGUAACGCCGGCGGCUCGAGUGGUAACCGCUAUUAUUGGGUCUAAAGGGUCUGUAGCCGGCCGACUAAGUCUCUUGGGAAAUCUGGCAUCUCAAGUGUCAGGCUGCCAGGGGAUACUGGUCGGCUUGGGACCGGGACAGGUGAGAGGUACAUCGGGGGAAUGACUAA
RNAcentral lists this ribosomal RNA (200 nucleotides) under uncultured Methanosaeta sp. RNAcentral's name for it is "partial 16S ribosomal RNA". It matches the Rfam family "Archaeal small subunit ribosomal RNA", at positions 436 to 635 of the family's 1478-position model. Lineage: Archaea; Methanobacteriati; Methanobacteriota; Methanomicrobia; Methanotrichales; Methanotrichaceae. The record is from RNAcentral.